UCCUCGCUCUCUUCUCUCUCUCUCCCUUGCUCGCUCACGCUCCCUCCGCUCCGCGCUCGGGGAGCUGCUGCUGGGCCGGAGAACAAGGAGCGCGCGCGGGCGGGCGGGCGGGCGGCCCGAGGCUCCUGGGUCUGGUCCUUGCGGGCGUCCGCCAGGGACCAUGCAGCUGCGGGAGCAUCACCACCAGCAGAAGCAGCAGCAGCAGCAGCAGCACCAGCAGCACCAGCAGCAGCAACAGCAGCAGCAGGCACAGCAGAGGCGGGGGCUCCUCGGCGCCUAGGCGGCCCCAGCCGCGCUCUCUCCCGGAGAAGGAGCCUUGGUCACUGGGGCUGGCCACCGGGCGGCCGUCCAGCAGAGCUUCGCCGGCCAGAGCUUCCGUGAAGGAAGGAAAAGGAAGAGGAAGCGGAGGAGAAGGACGGCGAGCGGAGGAGCAGUCAGGUAGCAGCCCCAGCAGCAGCCCAGGCCCCAGCUCCAGCCCUUGCGGCAGCGGCCGAGCGCGCUGCCCGUCCGGGAGGGACGGCCAAGCGGGCUCACCAGGCGGAGAAGCCGGGCGCCCCCCGCCCCGCAGACGGGUCCCCACCACCGCCCUCGUCCCAGCCCUCGCCCCGCAGCCUUGCCGGCCAGCGAUGACAUCAACAGGGAAAGAAGGCAGCGGGGCGCAGCACGCGCAGUAUGUGGGACCCUACCGCCUGGAGAAGACGUUGGGCAAAGGACAGACAGGGCUUGUGAAGUUGGGGGUUCACUGUGUCACAUGCCAAAAGGUCGCGAUUAAAAUUGUCAACCGAGAGAAGCUCAGUGAGUCAGUGCUGAUGAAGGUGGAGCGGGAGAUCGCCAUCCUGAAGCUCAUAGAACACCCACAUGUUUUAAAGCUGCACGACGUUUAUGAAAAUAAAAAAUAUUUAUACUUGGUGCUAGAACAUGUAUCGGGUGGUGAGCUCUUCGACUAUCUUGUGAAGAAGGGGAGGCUGACGCCCAAGGAAGCCCGCAAGUUCUUCCGACAAAUCAUCUCUGCUCUUGACUUCUGCCACAGCCACUCAAUAUGCCACAGGGACUUGAAACCCGAAAACCUUCUGCUGGACGAGAGGAACAACAUCAGAAUAGCUGACUUCGGGAUGGCGUCACUGCAGGUUGGGGACAGCUUAUUAGAAACCAGCUGCGGGUCACCGCAUUACGCCUGCCCCGAAGUGAUCCGGGGUGAGAAAUACGAUGGGAGAAAAGCGGACGUGUGGAGCUGUGGGGUCAUUCUAUUCGCCUUGUUGGUGGGGGCUUUGCCUUUCGACGAUGACAACCUCCGGCAGCUCCUGGAGAAGGUGAAGCGAGGGGUGUUCCACAUGCCGCACUUCAUCCCGCCAGACUGUCAGAACCUGCUGCGGGGCAUGAUUGAAGUUGAUGCCUCUAAGAGGUUGACGCUAGAACACAUUCAGAAACACAUAUGGUAUAUAGGGGGCAAGAAUGAGCCAGAGCCAGAGCAGCCCAUCCCUCGAAAGGUGCAGAUCCGAUCCCUUCCAUCCCUGGAGGACAUCGACCCCGACGUACUGGACAGCAUGCACUCUCUAGGCUGCUUCCGAGACAGAAAUAAACUCUUACAGGACCUCUUGUCAGAAGAGGAAAAUCAAGAAAAAAUGAUCUAUUUUCUCCUUCUUGACCGGAAAGAAAGGUAUCCCAGUCAUGAGGAUGAAGACCUCCCCCCUCGGAAUGAAAUAGACCCCCCCAGGAAGCGGGUGGACUCCCCAAUGUUGAAUAGACAUGGCAAGCGGAGGCCUGAGAGGAAGUCCAUGGAGGUCCUCAGUGUGACGGAUGGCGGCUCCCCGGUCCCUGCCCGCCGAGCCAUUGAGAUGGCCCAGCAUGGCCAAAGUAAAGCCCUGUUCAGUAAAAGCCUGGAUAUCUCUGAAGCCCAUCCCAAAUUCAGCAAAGAAGACAGGAUGGCCAGUGCAUUGGGGUCCCGGUCAAUCAGCGGUGCAUCAUCGGGUCUUUCCACCAGCCCUCUUAGCAGUCCAAGGGUGACCCCUCACCCCUCUCCGAGGGGCAGCCCCCUCCCCACCCCCAAGGGAACGCCCGUCCACACGCCAAAGGAGAGCCCGGCGGGCACGCCCAACCCCACCCCACCGUCCAGCCCCAGCAUCGGAGGGAUGCCCUGGAGGACACGGCUCAAUUCCAUCAAAAACAGCUUCCUGGGGUCUCCUCGAUUCCACAGGCGGAAACUGCAGGUACCUACACCGGAGGAGAUGUCCAACCUGACCCCAGAAUCAUCCCCAGAGCUCGCCAAAAAGUCUUGGUUUGGUAACUUUAUCAACCUGGAGAAAGAAGAGCAAAUCUUUGUGGUCAUCAAAGACAAGCCGCUGAGCUCCAUCAAAGCUGAUAUUGUGCAUGCCUUCCUCUCGAUCCCCAGUCUCAGCCACAGUGUCGUCUCUCAGACGAGCUUCCGCGCAGAGUACAAGUCAACAGGUGGACCGGCUGUCUUCCAGAAACCCGUCAAGUUCCAGGUGGACAUCACCUACACGGAAGGUGGAGAGGCGCAGAAGGAGAAUGGCAUCUACUCAGUCACGUUCACACUUUUGUCAGGUCCAAGCCGUCGCUUUAAGAGGGUGGUGGAGACCAUUCAGGCCCAGUUGUUAAGCACACAUGACCAGCCAUCUGUCCAGCAAUUAUCAGAAACCCCCCAUUCAGCUCCAGGACUAAGCUGGGGAGCUGUGUUUAAGGGCCAGAAGGUGGCCACCAGCUACGAGAGUAGCCUCUGAGACUGUAGCAGACACCACUAACUGUAUGGAAUUGAUGACGGGGAGGCUUUCCAAAUGUGGAAUUAUCCCGAAAAGUUAACAUGUCACCACCGCCACCUGCCGCCCGACACCUUCUGUGCUUGGAGGACUCUUAUGGAUGGAAGGCAGCUGCUUCGGAUCCAGUCCCUUCUCCUCCUGAUCCUCCCUGGGUCCCCCCUCCUGCCUCGAGCCACGGCCUGUGGGGCUGGUGGAGCUCAGCUCAGUGAGGCCCACUGAAGGACCCCAACACCUCUUCUCUAGGGAGGGAUCAGCACAGCCACCGGUCUCCCGCCUGCCUGCCUGAGGAUAGCUAUGGGUGGCCUCUAGAUGCCGGGAGGUCAGCCCUACGCCAGCAGUGGGGCAGCCCCACCCCUCACCUGAGGGUGGAAGCCAACACCCCCAAGGAGCAGCGUUAGUGAUACCUCGGUCACCCCAAGGCCCUUGUCCUUUCCUCUCUGUUCUUCUGUCCUGUCUCCACUUGCAUCUCCACCAGCCUCUCCGUCUCCCCAUCUCUGCCUUCCUCUCUCUCUCAGUCUCUCUUCUUUCUUUGCAUUGUUUUUCGGUUCAUUGGUUUCACUGGGGGGCCUUGAGGUUGUAUUGGCUUCAGAGAGACCAUCCUGGCCGCUGUGGAGGGAAAGGGGGAAGCGCGAGGCACCAGAGCAAGGACAGCGGCUGCACCCCGAGCCCAGGCUGGCCUGGCCCAGAACGUCCUGGAGCGGAGGAGCCAGAAGCGGGGCGUGUCGUGCCGCCCAGCUGGACUGUCCCCCUGCCCCGGCCCCGCCCCGCCCCACCCCCAGCCUUCUGCUCCCCAGGGGAGGGAGAGAGCCCGCUUGGAGGCUGCUGGUGCUGUACUGAGAUCAGUAUUAAUCCCUUGCUGUUUUCAUUUACGUGAUUUCUUUGGUUCUCUCUUCAGGGAAGAGGCAGUGUUCUCAGUCUGUCUGCUUGUCUGUCUUGGUGUCUGUCUGUACGGGGUUUGGCCGCGGGUCGAGGCCUGGGCUGCUGGGGGCUCCGCAGACAAUGGCUCUCAGCAGAUCAGAGUGGAGGCAGGGCCAGGGCAACACAAAGCUACUGUAAACUUUAAAAGAAUUCCUGCAAGAUAUUUUUAUAAACCUUUUUUCCUUGGUUGUUUUUGGAAAAGGGUUGGGGGCGGGGCGGGGCCUGGCGCUGUGGGGCGGGGCGGGGUGGGCUGGACUUUGUGUUUCCGUUAUUAGCUCUUGGUUAUUUCUACACACACACACACACACACACACACACACACACACACACACACACACACACACACACACACACACACACACACACAAAAUAAAAAACGACGCCAUUAGAGAGCUCUUCUGUUUUCGUACCGUGGAGAGGGAACACCAAGUCCUAUUUCUUUGGGGGUGGGGCAGCCCGGGGGCAGUUUCCCUCGCGGUGGAACGUGGCUCCGCUCUGCGUGGCCUGGAAGCCCGGGCCAAGAGUGACUUUAUCUGGGCCCAGGCCAGGCUGGCCAGGGAAGGGCAAGACAUGAGCCGCUAGGAGCCACUAAGCCAGCGCUCAGAACUGUCCGCUUCAGCGCUUCAGGACAAAAACCAGAACCAAGUCACAACUCUUCUCUUCUAUUCUGCGUUCUCGGUACAUAAUGCCGAGGAGGGUGGGGCAGGGUGGGGCAGGCCUCUUGAUCCCCUCCCCAAUUUGGACUGGGUCCCCCUGCCCUCCUCUGCCCUGCCUCCUUGCCGUUGGCCUUUGCUUCCUACCUUGCGUCGCCGCUCCCAGACUCACGCUCAUAUUGCUCCGUGAGUGUCUAGCCUGGCUGCAGGUUACUGCUGAGGGCUGGGCUGGGAAGGGAAGGGCUGGGCAGGGCAUGGUGCUGAGGGCUGGUUGGCGGGCAGGCAGGUGGCCGAGGACAGGGGCAGUUGUUAAUUGCAUGCCUUUACUGUAAUUAGUCCAUUUUGCUUUUGAUGUCUUUCCUGCCUCCCCUCGAUGCCCUCCCCCCCUUCUGUAUAGGUUUAUGGCACCUCAACAAAAGGCUGGGAUUUCAAUACAGAGGAAGAGUCGGGCAAAGCCCAAAGGCAGUACAAGCAGGGCGGGGCUCCUUCAUACACAAAGACAUGAGGAUUACCAAAAGCAAUACCACUUGUUAGCCUUCCUUCCUUCCGAUUUUGUACUUGGAACACAAUGUAUAAACUCUCUCUCUCUCUCUCUCUCUCUCUCUCUCUCUCUCUCUCUCACACACACACACACACACACACACACACACACACACGCUGGAAAAUGGACAAAAUCUCCAUCUGAUGUAUUCCUUGUCAGAUAACUAACUGUGAGCAACUUCCGUUCAGAACCAAUAAAUUCAUUCAGUGAAGAUAUCA
Non-coding RNA from Phascolarctos cinereus (koala), 5104 nucleotides. Lineage: Eukaryota; Metazoa; Chordata; Mammalia; Diprotodontia; Phascolarctidae. The record is from RefSeq and is a predicted model, not a curated record.